RNAcentral lists this ribosomal RNA (472 nucleotides) under uncultured Methanomicrobiales archaeon. Its description in RNAcentral is "bacterial SSU rRNA". It matches the Rfam family "Archaeal small subunit ribosomal RNA", at positions 871 to 1337 of the family's 1478-position model. Lineage: Archaea; Methanobacteriati; Methanobacteriota; Methanomicrobia; Methanomicrobiales. The record is from RNAcentral.
UUGACGGGGAGCACCACAACGGGUGAAGCUUGCGUUUAAUCGGACUCAACGCCGGGAAACUCACCAGAUAAGACAGCUGAAUGAUAGUCGGGCUGAAGACCCUACUUGACUAGCUGAGAGGAGGUGCAUGGCCGUCGUCAGUUCGUACUGUGAAGCAUCCUGUUAAGUCAGGCAACGAGCGAGACCCACGCCAACAGUUGCCAGCUCGUCCUCCGGGAUGGUGGGGACACUGUUGGGACCGCCUCUGCUAAAGAGGAGGAAGGAAUGGGCAACGGUAGGUCAGCAUGCCCCGAAUUAUCUGGGCUACACGCGGGCUACAAUGGGUGGGACAAUGGGUAUCGACACCGAAAGGUGAAGGCAAUCUCCUAAACCCAUCCGUAGUUCGGAUUGUGGGCUGCAACUCGCCCACAUGAAGCUGGAAUCUGUAGUAAUCGUGUCUCAAAAUGGCACGGUGAAUAUGUCCCUGCUCCUU